GAACCCAUGUGGAUGUAGUUACCGCCCUUUGACACUUGAUACUCAAGGACGACUUUGGAUUAAAUUGUCAAUCCAAGAAGAAUGGUCUAUAUUAUGUCUCAAUCUUAAAAAUUCUGUGACUCCUCACUAGGAUUAUUUUGACCAAAAUUUUGUUGAAUUGAAAUACAAUGAUGCAUCAUCUCUAAUUUUACUUGGAGCAGUCAAUCCCAUCUUGACUCGCACUCAGACUUCACAAGUACUUAACUGUAUUCAAAAAUCUUCCAUCAUCGAAUUAGAAAUUUAGAUAGUCUGAUAGCAAAGUAUAGUGAAUUACUUGCAAGUCACCGAGGUAGCCUC
This 336-nucleotide long non-coding RNA is filed under the name Elaeis guineensis (African oil palm). Its description in RNAcentral is "long non-coding RNA (EGUI_LNC079136)". The record is from RNAcentral. Lineage: Eukaryota; Viridiplantae; Streptophyta; Magnoliopsida; Arecales; Arecaceae.